CCUACGGGAGACAGCAGUGAGGAAUAUUGGUCAAUGGGAGAGAUCCUGAACCAGCCAAGUCGCGUGAGGGAAGACGGCCCUAUGGGUUGUAAACCUCUUUUGUCGGAGAACAAAACCCGGUACGUGUCCCGGACUGCGUGUAUCCGUAGAACAAGCAUCGGCAAACUCCGUGCCAGCAGCCGCGGUAAUCCGGAGGAUGCGAGCGUUAUCCGGAUUUAUGGGGUUAAAGGGGUGCGUAGGCGGUGCGUUAAGUUAGCGGUAAAAUUGCGGGGCUCAACCCCGUCGAGCCGGUGAAACUGGGAGACUUGAGUGGGCGAGAAGUAAGCGGAAUGCGCGGUGUAGCGGUGAAAUGCAUAGAUAUCGCGCAGAACUCCGAUUGCGAAGGCAGCGUACCGGAGCCAGACUGACGCUGAGGCACGAAAGCGUGGGGAUCGAACAGGAUUAGAUACCCCAGUAGUC
RNAcentral lists this ribosomal RNA (459 nucleotides) under uncultured bacterium. RNAcentral describes it as "partial 16S ribosomal RNA". It matches the Rfam family "Bacterial small subunit ribosomal RNA", at positions 338 to 795 of the family's 1533-position model. The record is from RNAcentral.